UACGGAGGAUCCGAGCGUUAUCCGGAUUUAUUGGGUUUAAAGGGUGCGCAGGCGGGAGAUUAAGUCGGCGGUGAAAUUUUGCAGCUCAACUGUAAAAGUGCCUUCGAAACUGGUUUCCUUGAGUGUGGAUGAAGUAGGCGGAAUUUGUGGUGUAGCGGUGAAAUGCAUAGAUAUCACGAGGAACUCCGAUUGCGCAGGCGGCUUACUAAACCAUAACUGACGCUGAGGCACGAAGGCGUGGGGAUCAAACAGGAUUAGAUACCCUGGUAGU
RNAcentral lists this ribosomal RNA (271 nucleotides) under uncultured prokaryote. RNAcentral describes it as "partial 16S ribosomal RNA". It matches the Rfam family "Bacterial small subunit ribosomal RNA", at positions 524 to 794 of the family's 1533-position model. The record is from RNAcentral.